UGGGAGUUAGCUGAGUUGCCAGCAGGAAAGAAAACAGUGGGCUGCAAAUGGGUUUAUUCUGUCAAACAGAAUCCUGAAGGUAAGAUUGAGAGAUACAAAGCCAGACUAGUUGCAAGAGGAUAUAGUCAAACCUAUGGGAUAGACUAUGACGAAACAUUUGCUCCAGUAGCAAAAAUGAACACUGUGAGGAUAUUAGUAUCAUGUGCAGCAAACUUUGGAUGGCCUUUGCAUCAAUUAGAUGUGAAAAAUGCUUUCUUGCAUGGAGAACUAAAAGAAGAAGUGUAUAUGGAAGUCCCCCCUGGAUUGGACUCAUCUAAAACUGAAGGCAAGGUGUGUAGAUUGAAAAAGUCUUUGUAUGGUCUGAAACAAUCACCGAGAGCUUGGUUCGAUAGAUUCCGAAGGGCUAUGUGUGAGAUGGGAUACAAACAAUGCAAUAAGGAUCACACUGUCUUCUACCGGCAUCAGAAUAGGAAGAUUGUCAUCCUUGCAGUCUAUGUAGAUGAUAUAAUCAUAACUGGAGAUGAUGGGACGGAGAUAGCAAGGUUAAAGGAGUGUCUUGGAAAGGCAUUUGAAGUGAAGGAUCUUGGUCAGAUGAAGUAUUUUCUGGGUAUUGAGAUUGCAAGAUCUGCCAAAGGGAUAGCCUUGUCCCAGCGCAAGUACACCUUGGAUCUCCUCAGUGAUAUGGGAAUGUUAGAGUGUCGAGCUGCUACUACCCCAAUUGACCAAAACCAUAAGGUAACAGCACAAUCUGGAGAUCUAGUGGAUAAGGAGAAAUACCAAAGACUG
RNAcentral lists this ribosomal RNA (786 nucleotides) under Triticum aestivum (bread wheat). RNAcentral describes it as "partial small subunit ribosomal RNA". The record is from RNAcentral. Lineage: Eukaryota; Viridiplantae; Streptophyta; Magnoliopsida; Poales; Poaceae.